AUUGAACGCUGGCGGCAUGCCUUACACAUGCAAGUCGAACGGCAGCACGGGUGCUUGCACCUGGUGGCGAGUGGCGAACGGGUGAGUAAUACAUCGGAACAUGUCCUGUAGUGGGGGAUAGCCCGGCGAAAGCCGGAUUAAUACCGCAUACGAUCUACGGCUGAAAGCGGGGGACCUUCGGGCCUCGCGCUAUAGGGUUGGCCGACGGCUGAUUAGCUAGUUGGUGGGGUAAAGGCCUACCAAGGCGACGAUCAGUAGCUGGUCGGAGAGGACGACCAGCCACACUGGGACUGAGACACGGCCCAGACUCCUACGGGAGGCAGCAGUGGGGAAUUUUGGACAAUGGGCGAAAGCCUGAUCCAGCAAUGCCGCGUGUGUGAAGAAGGCCUUCGGGUUGUAAAGCACUUUUGUCCGGAAAGAAAUCCUUGGCCCUAAUACGGUCGGGGGAUGACGGUACCGGAAGAAUAAGCACCGGCUAACUACGUG
Molecule: ribosomal RNA, 486 nt
Filed under: uncultured bacterium
Lineage: Bacteria
Description: partial 16S ribosomal RNA
Rfam family: Bacterial small subunit ribosomal RNA
Source: RNAcentral